This 997-nucleotide long non-coding RNA is filed under the name Sarcophilus harrisii (Tasmanian devil). RNAcentral describes it as "lncRNA (ENSSHAG00000025158.1)". The record is from RNAcentral. Lineage: Eukaryota; Metazoa; Chordata; Mammalia; Dasyuromorphia; Dasyuridae.
CAGGAAAUCUGCAGCUCAAUGGGGAGAAGAAAUAGAAUACUUCCCAACGACUAGACCCGCUGCUUGGCAGAAGGCUCUGCCAACAGGCCCUGGGGGACCUCAGCCCGAGUCGACUUCACCACAUGGCGCCCUGGUGUGGAAAAGAAAACUAAACUCAAGUACCUGACUAAAUAUCUAUCCUCCACAGAAUUGGCCCCACUACAAGCAGAAGCUUCCACCAAUGGGCCAAGGUGCUCCUCUUCCUCAUUCGACCUCAUUUCUUUAUCAUAUAUUGGGUGAAAAAAAAAAAAAAGAAAGAAAACCAAACACACUGACUCACCUCAACCCCCCCAGGAUGAAUGUGUGCCCUUCAGAGACUUGGCCCCAACACUUGGCAGAAACCCUUGCCAACAGGCCAAAAGGUCCUCUUCCCCAAUAGAACAGAAGGCAUUGUGCCAUCUGGAAAAAAGAUCCCCCCCAAGCACACUAACUCCCCUCAACAUCCAGGCUAAAUGUGGGUCCUCCAUAGACAGGACUUCUGCAGGGCUCCUGCCUGGCAGAAAGCUCCACCAAGGGGCCAGGGCUCUCCUUCCCCAGUCGAUCUCAGCACAUUUUCCCUGAAAACUUGGGAGAACGGAUGCCUCCCAUAAACCUCCAGCAUUCACCAUGGUGCCAGCAGCUGGGCCAGACUGGGUAGUCCCAACCCCUGGAAGAGGCCGGUCUCUGGGCUGACCAAUGACCUCCCCUGCCUGCCAUGAGAGGUCAAACAGGAAGCCACCCCACUCCUGUCAGCUCCCUCUUCCCUCAGGCUGUAGCACUUGCCUGCCCCAGGCUUUAGGGACUCCCGCCAAAGGCCCCAGGAAGAAGAGGCUCAGCCACCCUUACAAAGGAAAAUUGCAAACACCAGUCCAUCUUGUUCACCAGAUAGAUGAUGUGGAAAUUGAGAAUCAAGAAUUGCCAAUUGAACAUGAAGUUUCAGCCAACAUUGUUCCCCAGGUCUCUGGGUCACUGGAUGCCC